UCCGUUGGCCGGAGCCACGGGGAACGGCGCGGGUCCUUCUCCCCCCCACUCGGCCCGAGUGGUCGCGUCCCUUUAAAGGGCCCGCCGGGCGGCGCCUGCGGCGGGGCAGAGCCGGGGCCGCGCACGUGUGGAGUUCGGGCGCCGGUCGUGCCGCGGUGGCGCGGGGAGCGGAGGUCGUGCACCCCAGAAGUAGGCGGCCGGGAGGGAUGAAGUGCUUGCCACGUGUUCUCGGACACUUUGAUCCCACCCAGGAGCGCUGUUCCAAGGAGCUCCGAAGCGGCUCUCUUCCCCGGGGGGAGGGGGGCUGGCUGAGCUGGAGCCCAGGGCGGUGGAGGCCGGAGCGCGGCGGGAAGGGGUAGGGGGAGGCACCAAUCAGCAGCCGAGCCACAGCGACCCCCCAGAGAACGGACACGUGCGACCGCCCUAAGGCGCCGGGCCGAGAGCCCCGCGACCGCGCGGCCGCGCCGGGGCUGCCUGCAGGAGCGCGCACAAUGCGGUUGGCGGGGUGGGGGAUGGGACACGGGGAGAGCGGCAGGGUCCCCGGGAGGGUGCACGCUGGCCCCGGCCCCGGCCCCGGCCCCGAGUGCGCCCUGGAACGGGGGUGCGAGGCGGGGGCCCCCGAAGGACUGGAUUGUGCAGUGCGAAGUCCGAAGGGAGAAAAACACUUCCCGACACUUGAGACCGGCUGGAAGUGGGCGAAGUACCGUGAACCCCAGGUCGCGGCACUGGCCACUGCAAGGGGGUUUUUAGUCCUGGACUCCUCCAUGUGUGAGGGCCUUGGCCGGGCUCUGCGUCCACCUCUCGGUCCGGAGACACCACCCCUGCCGCCUCCCUUGGUGCUCAGCCUUCCAGCUCUGUCCCAACUCUCCUUCCUAACUGCCAUGGAACCUGUCGUUACCUUUAUCCGCCUUGGAAAGCUCAUCUGUGUUGGAUAUCCUGUAAAGCAGGUUUCAGAAGUGAGGCAUCGGGGGAGAGAGAGCCCAAAAAGAUAGGCAACUGGUUGGGGAAGAAGAUGACAGAAACAAUAAGAGAUAAUUUAUUGAGAGAGAAAGUUUACAUUUAAAAAAAAAGCAUAUUGGGACGCCUGGGUGGCUCAGCGGUUGAGCACCUGCCUUUGGCCCAGGGCAUGAUCCUGGAGUCCCAGGAUCAAGUCCCACAUCGGGAUCCCUGCACGGAGCCUGCUUCUCUCUCUGCCUGUGUCUCUGCCUCUCUCUGUGUGUCUCUUAUGAAUAAAUAAAUAAAAUAUUAAAAACA
This 1254-nucleotide long non-coding RNA is filed under the name Vulpes vulpes (red fox). Its description in RNAcentral is "lncRNA (ENSVVUG00000022416.1)". Lineage: Eukaryota; Metazoa; Chordata; Mammalia; Carnivora; Canidae. The record is from RNAcentral.